Molecule: long non-coding RNA, 1630 nt
Filed under: Homo sapiens (human)
Lineage: Eukaryota; Metazoa; Chordata; Mammalia; Primates; Hominidae
Description: HSALNT0384123
Source: RNAcentral
CUUUCCACUCACUCCUUGUCAGCUGCACCUGGUCUCUCCCUCCCCCUCUUUCCUUACCCUGCUUUCCACUCUGUUCACCUUCCUGGCUCUCUCUCUCCUCUGGCCCUGGCAUCUCUCAAGCCUUUCUCCUUGCAUCCGUGUCUCCUUCCUGCCUCCCUUCCCCUCUAGCUCUUUCCCCCUCUCACCCCAGCCCCUUUCUGACCUGUGCCCAGGGGACGGACACAUAGACACUGCCUGCGCGUGGGCCUCCUCCCUUCUCCCUCCCGUCAGAGCUGCCAGCUCCACUCACCAGGUAUCCUGGCCGCAUUGAGGAUGGCUGAGGGCAAGAGAAGGAAACGGUUAGGCCGGUGAGGGGCCCCAGGACACAGUGGUGAGGGGCCCUCAACGCCCAGUGAGGAAGGCCCCCAACACCCAGUAAGAAGGGAUCCCAGUGCCCAGUGAGGUGGAGGUCCCAGCACCCAGUGAGGAGGGUCCCUCAGCGCCCAGUGAGGAGGGGUCCCAGCACCCCCUGAGGAGGGUCCCUCAGCGCCCAGUGAGGAGGGGUCCCAGUACCCAGUGAGGAGGGUCCCUCAGCGCCCAGCGAGAAGCCCCCAGCACCCAGUGAGAAGGGGUCCAGUGCCCAGUGGGAAGGGGUCCCAGCACCCAGUGAGGAGGGGUCCCCAGCGCCCAGUGAGGAGGGCUCCCCAGCGCCUAGUGAGGAGGGUUCCCCAGCGCCCAGUGAGGAGGGGUCCCCAGCGCCCAGUGAGGAGGGCUCCCCAGCGCCCAGUGAGGAGGGGUCCCCAGCGCCCAGUGACGAGGGGGUCCCAGCGCUCAGUGAGGAGGGGGUCCCAGCGCCCAGUGAGGAGGGGUCCCAGCGCCCAGUGAGCAGGCGUCCCAGCGCCCAGUGAGGAGGGGGUCCCCUUGAGUACCUGGUGGUGAGGAACCUCUAGCCCUCCAGUGCCCAGGGAGACUCUCAAGUCUCUCAACCCCAGGGCCCCUACCGGCGGGGCAUUUCCUGGGGCCUGGCCAGGCCCUGGCUGCACAGCUGUGACCCUGCCCUCCCGCAGCUUCCCGUCCAGCCUGCCUUCCGGGGACCAGGACCGGCUCCUCGAGGGAGGCACAGACCUGAGCCCCUCGGCUCUGGACGCUGCUGCCGCUGGUGUGCCCUCCCCUGACCUCCUGCGGCAGGAACAACACAAAACGGUGCUUCCCCAGAGGCAAGCAGCGGAGGACGAGGAGAUGGGAGAACACGGAGGCGAGAGGGAGCAGGCGAUGGCGACGCCGACGGUAACUGGAGACCGAGGCGCGCUGCGUACUUGCUGCGUUUUCUGUUUCAUCCUCACAGCCGUAGAAGAAACCGAGGCACAGAGCAGUUAAGGAGCAAGAGAUAAACAGAGCAGAAGCGGAAAGGAGAUGAGAGAGGGCCCCAGGCCCCUGUGACUCAGCCCAGAGACCUGGCGCAACCCGGGCUUGGGAAUCCCGUUAACCCACUUCCCGAAAGCUGUGAAUCAGAUAAGGAAACUGAGGCAGCUUAGGGCGGUUAAGUGACUUGCCCGAGAUUGCUGGGUGAGUGGUGGAGCCGGACCUGCACCCCAACACUGGGGGUGGCUGCUGGGACUGCCCUCAUGGAGGCUUCGGGAGCCUGGAGGAG